CCUACGGGAGGCAGCAGUGAGGAAUAUUGGUCAAUGGGCGAGAGCCUGAACCAGCCAAGUCGCGUGAGGGAGUACUGCCAUAUGGGUUGUAAACCUCUUUUGUCGGGGAGCAAAAGCCGGACGUGUCCGGCUGUGAGAGUACCCGAAGAAAAAGCAUCGGCUAACUCCGUGCCAGCAGCCGCGGUAAUACGGAGGAUGCGAGCGUUAUCCGGAUUUAUUGGGUUUAAAGGGUGCGCAGGCGGAGUUUUAAGUCAGCGGUAAAAUCGUGGGGCUCAACCCCAUCCAGCCGUUGAAACUGGGGAUCUAGAGUGUGCGAGAGGUAUGCGGAAUGCGUGGUGUAGCGGUGAAAUGCAUAGAUAUCACGCAGAACCCCGAUUGCGAAGGCAGCAUACCGGUGCACAACUGACGCUCAGGCACGAAAGCGUGGGUAUCGAACAGGAUUAGAUACCCGUGUAGUC
RNAcentral lists this ribosomal RNA (458 nucleotides) under uncultured bacterium. RNAcentral's name for it is "partial 16S ribosomal RNA". It matches the Rfam family "Bacterial small subunit ribosomal RNA", at positions 338 to 795 of the family's 1533-position model. The record is from RNAcentral.